Molecule: ribosomal RNA, 94 nt
Filed under: uncultured bacterium
Lineage: Bacteria
Description: partial 16S ribosomal RNA
Rfam family: Bacterial small subunit ribosomal RNA
Source: RNAcentral
CACCGCCCGUCACACCAUGGGAGUUGACUGCUCCAGAAGUGGCUUGGAUAACCGCAAGGAGUCCGGCCCUAAGGAGUGCUCAAUGACUGGGGUG